This 914-nucleotide ribosomal RNA is filed under the name uncultured archaeon. RNAcentral's name for it is "bacterial SSU rRNA". It matches the Rfam family "Archaeal small subunit ribosomal RNA", at positions 1 to 923 of the family's 1478-position model. The record is from RNAcentral.
UCUGGUUGAUCCUGCCAGAGGUUACUGCUAUCGAGGUUCGACUAAGCCAUGCGAGUCGAAUGUAGCAAUACAUGGCGAACUGCUCAGUAACACGUGGACAACCUGCCCUUAGGUUGGGUAUAAACCCGGGAAACUGGGUAUAAUACCCGAUAGGUCUCGAUUGCUGGAAUGCAUCGAGAUUUAAAGCUCCGGCGCCUAAGGAUGGGUCUGCGGCCUAUCAGGUAGUAGUGGGUGUAGCGUACCUACUAGCCUACGACGGGUACGGGUUGUGAGAGCAAGAGCCCGGAGAUGGAUUCUGAGACACGAAUCCAGGCCCUACGGGGUGCAGCAGGCGCGAAAACUUUACAAUGCUGGCAACAGCGAUAAGGGAACCUCGAGUGCCAGGUUACAAAUCUGGCUGUCGAGAUGCCUAAAAAGCAUUUCAUAGCAAGGGCCGGGCAAGACCGGUGCCAGCCGCCGCGGUAACACCGGCGGCUCGAGUGGUAACCGUUAUUAUUGGGUCUAAAGGGUCUGUAGCCGGCCGGAUAAGUCUCUUGAGAAAUCUGGCAGCUUAACUGUCAGGCUUUCAGGAGAUACUGUCUGGCUCGAGGCCGGGAGAGGUGAGAGGUACUUCAGGGGUAGGGGUGAAAUCUUGUAAUCCUUGAAGGACCACCAGUGGCGAAGGCGUCUCACCAGAACGGACCUGACGGCAAGGGACGAAAGCUAGGGGCACGAACCGGAUUAGAUACCCGGGUAGUCCUAGCCGUAAACGAUACUCGCUAGGUGUCGGCCACGGUGCGACCGUUGUCGGUGCCGUAGGGAAGCCGUGAAGCGAGCCACCUGGGAAGUACGGCCGCAAGGCUGAAACUUAAGGAAUUGGCGGGGGAGCACCAUAACGGGUGGAGCUUGCGGUUUAAUUGGAUUCAACGCCGGAA